RNAcentral lists this ribosomal RNA (385 nucleotides) under uncultured bacterium. Its description in RNAcentral is "bacterial SSU rRNA". It matches the Rfam family "Bacterial small subunit ribosomal RNA", at positions 30 to 417 of the family's 1533-position model. The record is from RNAcentral.
AUUGAACGCUGGCGGCAUGCCUUACACAUGCAAGUCGAACGGCAGCGGGCCUUCGGGUGCCGGCGAGUGGCGAACGGGUGAGUAAUGCAUCGGAACGUGCCAUUGAGUGGGGGAUAACGUAGCGAAAGUUACGCUAAUACCGCAUAUUCUGUGAGCAGGAAAGCAGGGGACCGCAAGGCCUUGCGCUCUUUGAGCGGCCGAUGUCAGAUUAGCUAGUUGGUGAGGUAAAGGCUUACCAAGGCGACGAUCUGUAGCGGGUCUGAGAGGAUGAUCCGCCACACUGGAACUGAGACACGGUCCAGACUCCUACGGGAGGCAGCAGUGGGGAAUUUUGGACGAUGGGCGCAAGCCUGAUCCAGCCAUGCCGCGUGAGUGAAGAAGGCCU